UUUUCCGCCCGAACCUGGCGCCCCGGGUCGGCCUUCAUCUCGGAGGAGUUUUGGAGCGGUUGCGGGAUCCAGGCUCCCCACUCUCCAUCUCUUCUUGACCUGUCUGUCGAUCCUUGGCUGUUGGGGGCUUCCUGCAAAGGGCCUUGCUGCUGCUCUUCGAGAAUAAUCCAGGACGGAGAAGAUGGGAACACAUCGCCUGACCU
Long non-coding RNA from Suncus etruscus (white-toothed pygmy shrew), 203 nucleotides. RefSeq lists it as uncharacterized. Lineage: Eukaryota; Metazoa; Chordata; Mammalia; Eulipotyphla; Soricidae. The record is from RefSeq and is a predicted model, not a curated record. The transcript has 3 exons.